AAAUUGAAGAGUUUGAUCAUGGCUCAGAUUGAACGCUGGCGGCAGGCCUAACACAUGCAAGUCGAACGGUAACAGGAAGCAGCUUGCUGCUUUGCUGACGAGUGGCGGACGGGUGAGUAAUGUCUGGGAAACUGCCUGAUGGAGGGGGAUAACUACUGGAAACGGUAGCUAAUACCGCAUAACGUCGCAAGACCAAAGAGGGGGACCUUCGGGCCUCUUGCCAUCGGAUGUGCCCAGAUGGGAUUAGCUAGUAGGUGGGGUAAAGGCUCACCUAGGCGACGAUCCCUAGCUGGUCUGAGAGGAUGACCAGCCACACUGGAACUGAGACACGGUCCAGACUCCUACGGGAGGCAGCAGUGGGGAAUAUUGCACAAUGGGCGCAAGCCUGAUGCAGCCAUGCCGCGUGUAUGAAGAAGGCCUUCGGGUUGUAAAGUACUUUCAGCGGGGAGGAAGGGAGUAAAGUUAAUACCUUUGCUCAUUGACGUUACCCGCAGAAGAAGCACCGGCUAACUCCGUGCCAGCAGCCGCGGUAAUACGGAGGGUGCAAGCGUUAAUCGGAAUUACUGGGCGUAAAGCGCACGCAGGCGGUUUGUUAAGUCAGAUGUGAAAUCCCCG
Molecule: ribosomal RNA, 615 nt
Filed under: Escherichia coli
Lineage: Bacteria; Pseudomonadati; Pseudomonadota; Gammaproteobacteria; Enterobacterales; Enterobacteriaceae
Description: bacterial SSU rRNA
Rfam family: Bacterial small subunit ribosomal RNA
Source: RNAcentral